RNAcentral lists this ribosomal RNA (429 nucleotides) under Bacteroidota bacterium. Its description in RNAcentral is "Bacteroidetes bacterium partial 16S ribosomal RNA". It matches the Rfam family "Bacterial small subunit ribosomal RNA", at positions 355 to 776 of the family's 1533-position model. Lineage: Bacteria; Pseudomonadati; Bacteroidota. The record is from RNAcentral. RNAcentral also lists the same sequence under 1 other name.
UAGGGAAUCUUCGGCAAUGGGGGGAACCCUGACCGAGCAACGCCGCGUGAGUGAAGAAGGUUUUCGGAUCGUAAAGCUCUGUUGUUAAGGAAGAACGAGUGUGAGAAUGGAAAGUUCAUGCUGUGACGGUACUUAACCAGAAAGGGACGGCUAACUACGUGCCAGCAGCCGCGGUAAUACGUAGGUCCCGAGCGUUGUCCGGAUUUAUUGGGCGUAAAGCGAGCGCAGGCGGUUAGAAAAGUCUGAAGUGAAAGGCAGUGGCUCAACCAUUGUAGGCUUUGGAAACUGUUUAACUUGAGUGCAGAAGGGGAGAGUGGAAUUCCAUGUGUAGCGGUGAAAUGCGUAGAUAUAUGGAGGAACACCGGUGGCGAAAGCGGCUCUCUGGGCUGUAACUGACGCUGAGGCUCGAAAGCGUGGGGAGCGAACAGG